AACGAGGCCGACCUGCGGCUGAGUUACCUGCGGAGGGAUCAUUAAAAAAUGGAUCGAGGAAAAAAAAACAACCUUGUGCAAUUAUUGAAAGUUAAUCUUUGGGAGAUUGAGGAAAGAUUUUCUUUCUCGUCUUCCAAAGGUGUUUGAAUAUACAAAACUUUUUUAAAUGUCUUAAUAAUGAAAAAUCAUUAAUAUAAUAAAAACAACUUUCAACAACGGAUCUCAGAUCGGAAGAGCACA
RNAcentral lists this unclassified non-coding RNA (240 nucleotides) under soil metagenome. RNAcentral's name for it is "partial contains 5.8S ribosomal RNA, internal transcribed spacer 2, and large subunit ribosomal RNA". The record is from RNAcentral.